GACGAACGCUGGCGGCGUGCUUAACACAUGCAAGUCGAACGGAAAGGCCCUGCUUUUGUGGGGUGCUCGAGUGGCGAACGGGUGAGUAACACGUGAGUAACCUGCCCUUGACUUUGGGAUAACUUCAGGAAACUGGGGCUAAUACCGGAUAGGAGCUCCUGCUGCAUGGUGGGGGUUGGAAAGUUUCGGCGGUUGGGGAUGGACUCGCGGCUUAUCAGCUUGUUGGUGGGGUAGUGGCUUACCAAGGCUUUGACGGGUAGCCGGCCUGAGAGGGUGACCGGCCACAUUGGGACUGAGAUACGGCCCAGACUCCUACUGGAAGCAACAGUGGGGAAUAUUGCACAAUGGGCGGAAGCCUGAUGCAGCAACGCCGCGUGCGGGAUGACGGCCUUCGGGUUGUAAACCGCUUUCGCCUGUGACGAAGCGUGAGUGACGGUAAUGGGUAAAGAAGCACCGGCUAACUACGUG
RNAcentral lists this ribosomal RNA (468 nucleotides) under uncultured bacterium. Its description in RNAcentral is "partial 16S ribosomal RNA". It matches the Rfam family "Bacterial small subunit ribosomal RNA", at positions 28 to 507 of the family's 1533-position model. The record is from RNAcentral.